This 253-nucleotide ribosomal RNA is filed under the name uncultured bacterium. RNAcentral's name for it is "partial 16S ribosomal RNA". It matches the Rfam family "Bacterial small subunit ribosomal RNA", at positions 524 to 776 of the family's 1533-position model. The record is from RNAcentral.
UCCGUAGGGGGCAAUCGUUACUCGGAAUUACUGGGCGUAAAGGGUGAGUAGGCGGCUGAGCAAGUCAAGGAUGAAAGCCCGAGGCUCAACUUCGGAAUUGUCCUUGAAACUGCUCAGCUUGAGGGUAGUUGAGGAGAGUGGAAUUCCCGGUGGAGCGGUGAAAUGCGUAGAUAUCGGGAGGAAUACCUGAGGCGAAGGCGGCUCUCUAAGCUAUUCCUGACGCUGAAUCACGAAAGCUAGGGGAUCAAACGGG